Molecule: long non-coding RNA, 550 nt
Filed under: Fukomys damarensis (Damara mole-rat)
Lineage: Eukaryota; Metazoa; Chordata; Mammalia; Rodentia; Bathyergidae
Description: lncRNA (ENSFDAG00000031044.1)
Source: RNAcentral
CAGCAUUUCAUCAAAACUCUGAGCUCCCUCAAUAAUCAUUAGGUUGAAGAUUUUAAAUGUCUGCAUCAGCACUCCACUUUGAGCUAUUCCAGGAGAGAGCCAUGAGAGGGAGCAGGUACAAAAUGAGUAUCAUCACCAAGAAUGAAAAACUGCACUGCACAGGAAGACCUGCACCCAGUUAGACUCCAGGAGACCUCAGAAGAAACUGUGCCAAAGAUGAAAAACACCAUUUUUCAUGGAUUGUAAACCACCUUGUCACUUUCUUUAUAAUUAAGUCUAAACCUAUUCAUUCAAGAGUCACCAGUAUUGAUCAUAUGCCUUCUACCAUAUUUCUACUCUCAGUACCUAGGACAGUGCUUGAUGCACAGGAAAUUUUCAACACUGUUUGUUAAACCAAGCUGUUACAUAGAGCUUUAGUCUUAGCUACAUUUAAAAUGAUAUAGGAUAUGAAAAUGUAACAAGGGUGCUUCUUUUACCUAGCUUUUAUGUAUUUAUGGAUCCAUCCAUUAACUUGGCAAAGAGCUUUAAAAAUAGAAAGUAUAACCCAGAG